Molecule: ribosomal RNA, 575 nt
Filed under: Staphylococcus aureus
Lineage: Bacteria; Bacillati; Bacillota; Bacilli; Caryophanales; Staphylococcaceae
Description: bacterial SSU rRNA
Rfam family: Bacterial small subunit ribosomal RNA
Source: RNAcentral
CGGAUAAUAUUUUGAACCGCAUGGUUCAAAAGUGAAAGACGGUCUUGCUGUCACUUAUAGAUGGAUCCGCGCUGCAUUAGCUAGUUGGUAAGGUAACGGCUUACCAAGGCAACGAUGCAUAGCCGACCUGAGAGGGUGAUCGGCCACACUGGAACUGAGACACGGUCCAGACUCCUACGGGAGGCAGCAGUAGGGAAUCUUCCGCAAUGGGCGAAAGCCUGACGGAGCAACGCCGCGUGAGUGAUGAAGGUCUUCGGAUCGUAAAACUCUGUUAUUAGGGAAGAACAUAUGUGUAAGUAACUGUGCACAUCUUGACGGUACCUAAUCAGAAAGCCACGGCUAACUACGUGCCAGCAGCCGCGGUAAUACGUAGGUGGCAAGCGUUAUCCGGAAUUAUUGGGCGUAAAGCGCGCGUAGGCGGUUUUUUAAGUCUGAUGUGAAAGCCCACGGCUCAACCGUGGAGGGUCAUUGGAAACUGGAAAACUUGAGUGCAGAAGAGGAAAGUGGAAUUCCAUGUGUAGCGGUGAAAUGCGCAGAGAUAUGGAGGAACACCAGUGGCGAAGGCGACUUUCUGG